RNAcentral lists this ribosomal RNA (1572 nucleotides) under human gut metagenome. RNAcentral's name for it is "bacterial LSU rRNA". It matches the Rfam family "Bacterial large subunit ribosomal RNA", at positions 414 to 1983 of the family's 2925-position model. The record is from RNAcentral.
AGCGCGGAGCACGAGGAAUUCUGCGUGAAUCUGCCGGGACCAUCCGGUAAGGCUAAAUACUCCCGAGAGACCGAUAGCGAACCAGUACCGUGAGGGAAAGGUGAAAAGCACUUCGAACAGAAGAGUGAAAUAGUUCCUGAAACCGUGCGCCUACAAGCGGUCGGAGCUCGUUAAUGAGUGACGGCGUGCCUUUUGCAUAAUGAACCUACGAGUUGCCUUUGCCGGCAAGGUUAAGUGUGACGACACACGUAUCCGAAGCGAAAGCGAGUCUGAACAGGGCGUAUAGUCGGCAGUGGCAGACGCGAAACCAAGUGAUCUACCCUUGGCCAGGUUGAAGGCUGGGUAACACCAGCUGGAGGACCGCACCAAUAAGCGUUGAAAAGCUUCUGGAUGAGCUGAGGGUAGGGGUGAAAGGCUAAUCAAACUUGGAGAUAGCUCGUACUCCCCGAAAUGCAUUUAGGUGCAGCCUUGCGGGUUACUGAUGUGAGGUAGAGCGACUGAUAAGAUGCGAGGGCUUCACCGCCUAUCAAGUCUUGACAAACUCCGAAUGCGCAUCAGUUCUACCGCAGGAGUGAGGGCAUGGGUGCUAAGGUCCGUGCCCGAGAGGAGAAGAAUCCGGACCACCUGCUAAGGUCCCGAAAUGACAGCUAAGUUAAACUAACGAAGUCUGACUGCUAAGACAGCUAGGAUGUUGGCUUGGAAGCAGCCAUUCAUUUAAAGAGUGCGUAACAGCUCACUAGUCGAGGAGUCGGGCGUGGAUAAUAAUCGGGUAUCAAGUUGUCUACCGAAGCAGUGGGAUCAUUGAUAUGAUCGGUAGGGGAGCAUUCCAGUCGGCGUCGAAGGCGUACCGUGAGGUAUUCUGGAGCGUCUGGAAAAGCAAAUGUAGGUAUAAGUAACGAUAAAGGGGGCGGGAAACCCCCUCGCCGAAAGACUAAGGUUUCCUGAUCAACGCUAAUCGGAUCAGGGUCAGUCGGGUCCUAAGGCUCAGCCGAACGGCGAUGCCGAUGGCAGAAACGGUUAAUAUUCCGUUACUACCUUCAGGAGUGACGUGGAGACGCAGUAGUGACAGUGCCGCCAUCUGACGGAAUAGAUGGUUGAAGGGUGUAGGAGUCGAUCAUGGCAGGCAAAUCCACCAUGAGAUCCGAACCUGAUAGUAUGCCGCGUCCUUCGGGACAAGGCAAUAGUGCGCGUAAGCAUGCUGCCGAGAAAAUCCGCUAAACUUAAUCCUGCAGGUACCCGUACCGCAAACGGACACACGUAGUCGGGAUGAAUAUUCUAAGGCGCUUGAGUGAUUCACGGUUAAGGAACUAGGCAAACUGACCCUGUAACUUCGGGAUAAAGGGUCCCUACCCUUUUAUGGGAGGGCGCAGAGAAUCGGUCCAGGCAACUGUUUAACAAAAACACAGGGCUGUGCCAAAUCGAAAGAUCCAGUAUACAGCCUGACACCUGCCCGGUGCUGGAAGGUUAAGAGGAGAUGUCAUCGAUAAGAGAAGCGUUGAAUUGAAGCCCCAGUAAACGGCGGCCGUAACUAUAACGGUCCUAAGGUAGCGAAAUUCCUUGUCGGGUAAGUUC